This 394-nucleotide unclassified non-coding RNA is filed under the name soil metagenome. Its description in RNAcentral is "partial contains 5.8S ribosomal RNA, internal transcribed spacer 2, and large subunit ribosomal RNA". The stretch from base 1 to 120 matches the Rfam family "5.8S ribosomal RNA", at positions 35 to 154 of the family's 154-position model. The record is from RNAcentral.
GAUGAAGAACGCAGCGAAAUGCGAUAAGUAAUGUGAAUUGCAGAAUUCAGUGAAUCAUCGAAUCUUUGAACGCACCUUGCGCCUUUUGGUAUUCCGAAAGGCACACCUGUUUGAGCGUCAAGAAUACCUCAAUCUCCAUCUUUUCUUCGGAUUGAUGGGUGACUUGGAUGUUGAGCCCUGCUGGUAUGCUAUAUCAGCUGGCUUUAAACUUAUUAGCCGGCUCUGUACUGGAUCGGUUUGACUCGACGUGAUAAUAUUAUCGUUGAGGAUGCAUGUCUCAUGCAGCCGGAAAGUAUCAAAGCAGCUUCUAGCUUGCCUUUAGUGCACUUUUACAUUUUAGACCUCAGAUCAGGUGGGACUACCCGCUGAACUUAAGCAUAUCAAAAGCGGAGGA